GAGGGCUUGGCCGAGUGGUUAAGGCGUCAGAUUUAGGUUAAUAAAAUUUUCUUUGAAAUUUUAUAAAACACUCUGAUAUCUACGGAUGCGCGAGUUCGAAUCUCGUGGUCCUCA
RNAcentral lists this transfer RNA (114 nucleotides) under Petasospora fabianii. Its description in RNAcentral is "Cyberlindnera fabianii tRNA". It matches the Rfam family "tRNA". From Rfam's summary of the family: Transfer RNA (tRNA) molecules are approximately 80 nucleotides in length. Lineage: Eukaryota; Fungi; Ascomycota; Saccharomycetes; Phaffomycetales; Wickerhamomycetaceae. The record is from Rfam by way of RNAcentral.